GAAUACAAUGAUACCAACACUAAUGCACCAGAUCUCAUCAAAACUCUGCAGUUAAGCGUGCUUGGACGAGAGUAGUACUAAGAUGGAUGAUCUCUUGGGAAGUCCUUGUGUUGCACUCU
This 119-nucleotide ribosomal RNA is filed under the name Trifolium pratense (red clover). The record is from RNAcentral. Lineage: Eukaryota; Viridiplantae; Streptophyta; Magnoliopsida; Fabales; Fabaceae.